Molecule: non-coding RNA, 100 nt
Organism: Gemmatimonadetes bacterium 13_1_20CM_4_66_11
Lineage: Bacteria; Pseudomonadati; Gemmatimonadota
Source: Rfam
GCCCCAGGUCCGCAGGCUUUCCGCUCGUGAACCGCGUCAGGCCCCCGCAGGGAGCAGCGCUAAGCGAUGUCGGGAUUCGUUGCGGGGUGCCUGGGGCAUU